UCUUUGUCAGUACUUCCCCGCUGAUGGUUCAAGUGCCUGGGUUGUCCUGCGCCAUGGCAAGAAAGCUUGGUCAGUGGAAAUUGUCAGCCAUGAGUUUCGCAGAAACUGGAAUGAGUUCCAUCAGGCCCAUCAGUUAGAAGUUGACCAUAGGAUUGUUUUUUCAUGCGAGCGCAAUCUACAUACUGCUUGCUUGCCUUCAAUCCUUGUCGAUUCUCAUGCAGUGCUUAAGUUUAUUUACUUCAAUGUAUAUGGGCCUGACCUGCGCAGUGAGUUCAACCUUCGGCUUAGGCAUGUUUUUGGGAUGCUUGCACUGGAGCAGAUGGAGAUCAAAAUGGGUAGCCGAACUUGGAUUAUCCCAGUUCAAAACUUGCAGGUGAAUAUUGAAGCAUUCAAUCAGUUUGCUACUGCACUCUUUGUUCAGUGUCUCAAUCAUGUCAUGGUUUGUCAU
Rhododendron vialii is the source of this 448-nucleotide long non-coding RNA. RefSeq lists it as uncharacterized. The record is from RefSeq and is a predicted model, not a curated record. The transcript has 3 exons. NCBI's taxonomy places the organism in Eukaryota, Viridiplantae, Streptophyta, Magnoliopsida, Ericales, Ericaceae.